RNAcentral lists this ribosomal RNA (497 nucleotides) under uncultured bacterium. Its description in RNAcentral is "partial 16S ribosomal RNA". It matches the Rfam family "Bacterial small subunit ribosomal RNA", at positions 28 to 507 of the family's 1533-position model. The record is from RNAcentral.
GAUGAACGCUGGCGGCGUGCUUAACACAUGCAAGUCGAGCGAACAGAUGAGGAUUUUGUUCCUCUGUCGUUAGCGGCGGACGGGUGUGUAACACGUGGAUAAUCCACCUAUAAGUCUGGGAUAAUCUCGGGAAUCCGGCGCUUAUCCCGUAUAAUAUACUGAACCGCAUGGUUGAAUGGUAAAAGACGGUUUUGCUGUCACUUAUAGAUGGAUCCGCGCCGCAUUAGAUGGUUGGUAAGUUAACGGCUUACCAAGGCAACCAUGCGUAACCGACGUGCCGGGGGGGUAGGCCACACUGGAAGUGAGACGGGGUCCAGACUCCUGCGGGAGGCAGCAGUAGGGAAUGUUCCGCAGUGGGCGAAAGCCUGACAGAACGGCGGGACGUGUGUUGUGAAGAUCUUGGGAUCGUGAAGCUCUGUUAUGAGGGAAGAACAAAUGUGUAAGUAGAUAUGCACGGCUUGACGGUACCUAGUCAGAAAGCAACGGCUAACUACGUG